This 1507-nucleotide ribosomal RNA is filed under the name uncultured bacterium. RNAcentral's name for it is "bacterial SSU rRNA". It matches the Rfam family "Bacterial small subunit ribosomal RNA". The record is from RNAcentral.
AGAGUUUGAUCAUGGCUCAGGAUGAACGCUGGCGGCGUGCUUAAUACAUGCAAGUCGAACGAAGGUUGUAGCAAUACAUCCUUAGUGGCGAACGGGUGAGUAACGCGUUGGUGACCUGCCCCGAAGUGCGGGAUAACAGUCCGAAAGGAUUGCUAAUACCGCAUGGUUUCAUUUGGAUUAGAUGCCAGAUGAGCAAAGGCGAAAGUCGCUUCGGGAGGGGCUUGCGUCCCAUCAGCUAGUUGGUAGGGUAAUGGCCUACCAAGGCAAUGACGGGUAGGGGACCUGAGAGGGUGGCCCCCCACAAUGGAACUGAAACACGGUCCAUACACCUACGGGUGGCAGCAGUAGGGAAUAUUGGUUAAUGUGCGAAACGGCGAACCAGCAACGCCGCGUGCACGAUGAAGGCCUUCGGGUUGUAAAGUGCUUUUUGAGGGGAUGAGGAAGGACAGUACCCUCAGAAUAAGUCUCGGCCAACUACGUGCCAGCAGCCGCGGUAACACGUAGGAGACGAGCGUUAUCCGGAUUUACUGGGCGUAAAGCGCGUGCAGGCGGUUCAGCAAGUUGGAUGUGAAAGCUCCCGGCUUAACUGGGAGAGGUCGUUCAAAACUACUGAACUUGAGAGUGGUAGAGGGAGGUGGAAUUCCGGGUGUAGUGGUGAAAUGCGUAGAUAUCCGGAGGAACACCAGUGGCGAAAGCGGCCUCCUGGACCAUUUCUGACGCUCAGACGCGAAAGCUAGGGUAGCGAACGGGAUUAGAGACCCCGGUAGUCCUAGCUGUAAACGAUGUAGACUUGGCGUUGGUGGGGUUAAAUCCAUCAGUGCCGAAGCUAACGCGAUAAGUCUACCGCCUGGGGACUACGGCCGCAAGGUUAAAACUCAAAGGAAUUGACGGGGCCCCGCACAAGCAGCGGAGCGUGUGGUUUAAUUCGAUGAUACACGAAGAACCUUACCAGGGUUUGACAUGCUGGUGGUAGGGAGCCGAAAGGUGACCGACCCCUCGGGGAGCCAGCACAGGUGCUGCAUGGCUGUCGUCAGCUCGUGUCGUGAGAUGUUGGGUUAAGUCCCGCAACGAGCGCAACCCUCAUCCUGUGUUGCUACCGGGUAAAGCCGGGCACUCUCAGGAAACUGCCCGUGCAAGCGGGAGGAAGGUGGGGAUGACGUCAAGUCAGCAUGGCCCUUACGACCUGGGCUACACACGUGCUACAAUGGACGGUACAGACGGAAGCGAAGCCGCGAGGUGAAGCAAAUCCGAGAAAGCCGUUCUCAGUUCGGAUUGCAGGCUGCAACUCGCCUGCAUGAAGUCGGAAUCGCUAGUAAUCGCAGGUCAGCACACUGCGGUGAAUACGUUCCCGGGCCUUGUACACACCGCCCGUCACACCACGAAAGUUUGCAACACCCGAAGCCGGUGGGGUAACCGUAAGGAGCCAGCCGUCGAAGGUGGGGUAGAUGAUUGGGGUGAAGUCGUAACAAGGUAGCCGUAUCGGAAGGUGCGGCUGGAUCACCUCCUU